This 389-nucleotide long non-coding RNA is filed under the name Equus caballus (horse). RNAcentral describes it as "lncRNA (ENSECAG00000053474.1)". The record is from RNAcentral. Lineage: Eukaryota; Metazoa; Chordata; Mammalia; Perissodactyla; Equidae.
UCUCAACACAUUUUCUCUAUUCUGUUGUCUCGAAAAUGAGAAACUCUAACAGCCAUCUUGGGCCACCAGGCUGAGGAUCACAUACAAGUGAUGGCAGAAGGGUAGGAUGGAAGGAACGGGAGUUGCUAACAAAUUCAUACGUCUGUCAUGUCAACACUGCACUGCCUAUCUUGGGAUUUCUAAGUGAGAAACUCCUCAUCACUAUUUGCAGAAUCUAAGUCACAUGAGGGAAGAAAGAUAUUUUGGAGUCUCUACUAAAUACAUACCCAGGAUAAUGUUUGGCAGGAAAUGUCCAAACGUCAGCAUCAUUCUCAACAGUUGCAACCUUAUUGUGACAGAAAAUACAGAGCUACAGUAUUAAAAGGCUAAAUAAUUCAAGAAUAGUCUAA